CAUUUCCUCCGGUUUGGGUAAUGUCAGUUUUGAAUGUUAGAAAUAUAAGAGAGAGGAUACUCCAAAUAUUAUAAAUUCUAGUUUGGAUCCUUAGCUUAUAAGAGCUAUUCAGUUUUCUGUUGAUUUCUGGAUCAAUCUCUGGACUCCAAAGUAAUUUAACUCUCACAUGGCUUCCGAGGGGUGUAAUCUGCCGUUCGAACACAGUCCACGUUUAAUUGGUAGGUCUCCAUCUUAUUUUUGUGUUAGUUUUGUUCGAUAAGUUCAUCUUCUUCUCUUUCUCUUGUUCGAUUUAGAAUUGAGUUUUGGUUCUACUCUUGAUUUUAGUUGCGGGCUAUAUCGAAUUUGCCCUGUAUUUUGUGUCAAUGAAUUUUGUUACAUACAUUUGUCGUUUGGGAUUAAUUCAUCCCGUGCGUAGUUAAUCACUGUUUUGUUUAAGUGAAUCAUUCGUCCUUGUUUCAACCUUGUUCAAUUAUGUUUAGUCAUUUCAAUAAUUAAUAGCGUAGUUAAUUGUUUUGUUUGAACUAUCACUGAAAUUUCUCGAUUUGAAGCAUAAUGAUGUCCUGUUGAGUUUGAUAUUUAGCAUUAUUGUGGUUUUUGGUUCAGAUUCAACUAAAUUGUUUAAUCAGGAAUCAGUGUAGUUGAUUGUUAGGUGAAUUAUUUAUAGCUUUAGUAAUUUUGAGACUAAUUAGGAAUUAGUUUUGUUACAUGCUGAAGGGAUCGGGUAGAAUUAUAAAUUUUAGUUAUUAUAAAUUUUAGUUAUUUCAGGGGUAUCUUUGGAAUUGAAAAUAUAAAGAUUUGUUUAAAAAUAUAGUGGGGAACAUAAUUAUGUUAAAUAAAAAGAGGGGACAAGACAUUUGAGGAGCAUAAUGAUUAAAGUAAAAAGAGAGUGGAUUGUGGGGUCCACGUUUGACUGCUUUUGUUAAUUGAAAAUCAGAAAUAGUAGAAAGGGGGCUGGAAAUUAAAGUAAGAGGUAAUAAUAAAAGGGUAGUAAUAAUAAUUAAAGGGGGAGGUAAAUAGGGUCUUGUUUCAAAUAUAAUAGAAGUCAUUUGUCACUUAGAAGGGGGAGAAAAUUGAGAGAGAGAAAAUACUUUCAGAACUAGAGGGAAGAUAAACAACUGCUAUUGUUUAUUGAAGCUUCAAGCUUCUUUUCUUGAGUGUUAAAAAUCAGAAGGGACUAUUUUGGCAACUGGUUAUUUCUCUGUUGGUCUGUACUUGUUUUCUAAUACAAGUGGCAUUCAAUUAGUGUUGCUUGGGUUUUCUGUUGGUUUUCGUUUGGUUUGGAAAUAUAUUGGUCUGUACUUAUUUUCUAAUACUACUGGCAGUCAAGUAGUGUUGCUUGGGUUUACUGUUGGUUUUCGGUUGGUUUUCAAAUUCCUGGUUUUUCUGCUUGGUUGUAAUCUCCUGGGUUUUGCUGAUAUUCCCAUUGUUACUUGGUUACUCCUGUGUUGCUGAACACCUGUUGCUGUGUGUGUGGUGCUAUUGAUUCCUACUGAUCUUCAUCUUCUUUGUAUUCCAAUACCAGGUACACCACUUUGAAUCACUUUGAUGUACGCCUUGAAGAUGAAAUAAAAUGGGAGAAAUUUAUGUACUUAGUUAUAGUACAUUUGUAUUUUAGUUAUAUAUAUUUUCUCGCUAUGCAUUAGUUAAUCUUUGAAUCUUGUUAGUAAUACAGAUCCGCAAAUAUUAGGCAAAUAUAAUAUGCCGGUAAUUUCGUAGAAUGAACAUGCUUGAUGUUUAAUGUGUGAUUCAACGUAGCAAGGCUAAGAAUAUUAAUCCAUUAGGUGCGAGUAUGAGCAAGAUGAGUUAAUGUUUAAGUUUAAUAAACUUUUUUUAUAAGCUAUAGUAAUUAUGGUUAAAUCUAAUUUCAAAUAGUUGUGAAUAAUUAAUUCAAAUAGUUUUUAUAUAACAAUUCGAGUUUUUAAUCUAGCUAUAAUUGAUUUCUUUUGAAUAUUAG
Molecule: long non-coding RNA, 1954 nt
Filed under: Nicotiana benthamiana
Lineage: Eukaryota; Viridiplantae; Streptophyta; Magnoliopsida; Solanales; Solanaceae
Description: long non-coding RNA (NBEN_LNC003774)
Source: RNAcentral